GAUGAACGCUGGCGGCGUGCCUAAUGCAUGCAAGUCGAGCGGUAAGGCUCCUGCAGAUUAUUUAAACCGUGAAGAUCCGUCUUCACACCUCCCACUCCUGGCUAGGAGAUAGAGGUAAGUUUGAAUGAUGUGCUGGAGUACACGAGCGGCGGACGGGUGAGUAGCGCGUAAGAAUGUACCCCAAACUGAGGGAUAAGCAC
Molecule: ribosomal RNA, 200 nt
Filed under: uncultured bacterium
Lineage: Bacteria
Description: partial 16S ribosomal RNA
Source: RNAcentral